Molecule: ribosomal RNA, 343 nt
Filed under: uncultured archaeon
Lineage: Archaea
Description: partial 16S ribosomal RNA
Rfam family: Archaeal small subunit ribosomal RNA
Source: RNAcentral
CGGGAAACUGGGGAUAAUACCGGAUAUGUGGAGUUGCCUGGAAUUGGUACUUCAUGGAAAUGCACCGGCGCCUAAGGAUGGAGCUGCGGCAGAUUAGGUAGUUGGCGGGGUAAAUGCCCACCAAGCCAGUAAUCUGUACGGGUUGUGAGAGCAAGAGCCCGGAGAUGGAACCUGAGACAAGGGUCCAGGCCCGACGGGGCGCAGCAGGCGCGAAACCUCCGCAAUGCGAGCAAUCGCGACGGGGGAAACCCCAGUGCCACUCUUAACGGGGUGGCUUUUCUGAAGUGUAAACAGCUUCAGGAAUAAGCGCUGGGCAAGACCGGUGACAGCCGCCGCGGUAACA